RNAcentral lists this ribosomal RNA (264 nucleotides) under uncultured bacterium. Its description in RNAcentral is "partial 16S ribosomal RNA". It matches the Rfam family "Bacterial small subunit ribosomal RNA", at positions 793 to 1055 of the family's 1533-position model. The record is from RNAcentral.
GUCCACGCCCUAAACGAUGCAUAUUUGGUGUAGGUCAUUCAGUUGAUCUGUGCCGGAGCUAACGCGUUAAAUAUGCCGCCUGGGGAGUACAGUCGCAAGGCUGAAACUCAAAGGAAUUGACGGGGGCCCCGCACAAGCGGUGGAGCAUGUGGUUCAAUUCGACGCAACGCGAAGAACCUUACCUGGGCUCGAACGGCUCACGAAAGCUGUGGAAACACGGUUUUCCCGCAAGGGACGGGAGUCGAGGUGCUGCAUGGCUGUCGU